Molecule: long non-coding RNA, 495 nt
Organism: Passer montanus (Eurasian tree sparrow)
Lineage: Eukaryota; Metazoa; Chordata; Aves; Passeriformes; Passeridae
Exons: 3
Source: RefSeq, a predicted model, not a curated record
CAACCUUUAAGAAAAAACAAAAGCAGAAAUUUCCACAAUCCUAGGACAUUAAAACUGAGGGCUGGCACUAAAUAUUACACAAGCACCUGAGAACUGCAGACUGGCAAUAAAGCUGUUUCUGAUUGAUUCAUAAAAAUGAAAUUACAAAAGAGGAAAAAUGAAUGGUAAGAGCCCUAUGCAGGAAUGGAAGAGGCAGAAAACAGCAUAGCCAGUAGAUAAACCAGGGCAUGUGCCAAGGUGUGAAAUUGUGAUGACAGAGCUGUGAGCAGCAUCAACAGAUGAGGGCAAGAUCCCUGAACUGGGAGGGAAGGCCUUGCAAUUUGUAUGGAAACACAGAGGGAAAGAAGAACAGGAAAGAAAUAAGUGUGUAGGAAGAAGUUGAAGUGAGUGACUAUUCUGCAAUCACAGUCUGCUGUUUUCUGUGUAAGAGUUUUGUGGAUGUGGCCAUCUGAUAACACCACAGUGCUUAGAAAAGAGUGCUAGCCUUACUUUUGC